RNAcentral lists this ribosomal RNA (322 nucleotides) under uncultured eukaryote. RNAcentral describes it as "partial 18S ribosomal RNA". It matches the Rfam family "Eukaryotic small subunit ribosomal RNA", at positions 1470 to 1796 of the family's 1831-position model. The record is from RNAcentral.
CCCUUAGAUGUUCUGGGCCGCACGCGCGCUACACUGAUGCGUUCAACAAGUUUCCUUGGCCGAGAGGCCUGGGCAAUCUUCUUAAUAUGUAUCGUGAUAGGGAUAGAUUAUUGCAAUUAUUAAUCUUGAACGAGGAAUUCCUAGUAAACGCAGAUCAUCAAUCUGCAUUGAUUACGUCCCUGCCCUUUGUACACACCGCCCGUCACACCUACCGAUUGGAUGUUCCGGUGAAGCCUCGGGAUGAGGACUGGUGCCUUUAUUGGCAUGAGUUGUUCAGAACUUGUCUAAACCUUAUCAUCUAGAGGAAGGUGAAGUCGUAACA